Molecule: ribosomal RNA, 228 nt
Filed under: uncultured bacterium
Lineage: Bacteria
Description: partial 16S ribosomal RNA
Rfam family: Bacterial small subunit ribosomal RNA
Source: RNAcentral
UACGUAGGCGGAAAAUUAAGUCAGUAGUGAAAUCCUGCAGCUUAACUGUAGAACUGUUAUUGAUACUGGUUUUCUUGAAUAUAGUUGAGGUAGGCGGAAUGUGUAAUGUAGCGGUGAAAUGCUUAGAUAUUACACAGAACACCGAUUGCGAAGGCAGCUUACUAAGCUAUGAUUGACGCUGAGGUACGAAAGCGUGGUGAGCGAACAGGAUUAGAUACCCUGGUAGUC